Molecule: non-coding RNA, 77 nt
Organism: Phthorimaea operculella (potato tuberworm)
Lineage: Eukaryota; Metazoa; Arthropoda; Insecta; Lepidoptera; Gelechiidae
Source: the annotation of a GenBank genome assembly
GCGUCUGUAGCUCAGUUGAGUUGACAGAGCAGUGGGACGGUUCCCCACUGUCCCAGGUUCAAGUCCCGGCGGUCGCU